GGGAGCCGGUGGGAGAGGACGACGGCCGGCGGGGGGAGGAGGCGGCCCUAGCGCCAUUUUGUGGAGCGAAGCGGUAGCUGGGCUGCUCUUGGAUCCCUCGCUGCUUCGGUUCCCCUGUCGGGCUUCCUAGCAGCGGCCUAGCGGAAAAAGAAGAAAAAAUGUCUGAAUAUAUUCGGGUAACGGAAGAUGAGAAUGAUGAGCCCAUUGAAAUACCGUCGGAAGAUGAUGGGACGGUGCUGCUGUCCACGGUGACAGCCCAGUUUCCAGGGGCCUGUGGGCUGCGCUACAGGAAUCCAGUGUCUCAGUGUAUGAGAGGGGUCCGGCUGGUAGAAGGAAUUCUGCAUGCUCCGGAUGCUGGCUGGGGGAACCUGGUGUACGUUGUGAACUAUCCCAAAGAUAACAAAAGAAAAAUGGAUGAGACAGAUGCUUCAUCAGCAGUGAAAGUGAAAAGAGCAGUCCAGAAAACAUCUGAUUUAAUAGUGUUGGGUCUCCCGUGGAAAACAACUGAACAGGAUCUAAAGGAAUAUUUUAGUACCUUUGGAGAAGUUCUUAUGGUUCAGGUCAAGAAAGAUAUUAAAACUGGUCAUUCAAAAGGGUUUGGCUUUGUUCGUUUUACGGAAUAUGAAACUCAGGUGAAAGUAAUGUCACAGCGACAUAUGAUAGAUGGACGAUGGUGUGACUGUAAACUUCCUAAUUCUAAGCAAAGCCCAGAUGAGCCUCUGAGAAGCCGGAAGGUGUUUGUGGGGCGCUGCACGGAGGACAUGACUGCCGACGAGCUCCGGCAGUUCUUCUGCCAGUAUGGAGAAGUGGUAGACGUCUUCAUCCCCAAGCCAUUCAGGGCUUUUGCCUUUGUUACAUUUGCAGAUGAUCAGGUUGCCCAGUCUCUUUGUGGAGAGGACUUGAUCAUUAAAGGAAUCAGCGUACAUAUAUCCAAUGCUGAACCUAAGCACAAUAGCAAUAGACAGUUAGAAAGAAGUGGAAGAUUUGGUGGUAAUCCAGUUCAUCUCAUGUCAAAUGUUUAUGGGAGAAGCACUUCAUUGAAAGUAGUGCUGUAAAUAUUCUGCCAUAGGAAUGCUUCUGUCUACAUGCUUUCUCAUUCAAGAAUUCGUCAUCACACUGCACAGGCUGCGUCUUUGACGUUUUUAAUAAGUCUGGGUGACCGCACCUAAAAUGGUAAGCAGUACCCUCCAGCUUUUUCUUAGUGCCUCUGUGCAUUUGGGUGAUGUUCUAUUUACAUGGCCUGUAUAAAUCUCCAUUGGGAAGUCAUGCCUUCUAAAAUAUUCUUAUUUGGGGGAGUUGGCAAAACAAUGUUAAUUAUUUUCAGUGCUUUGUAACAAAGCAUAUCAAUUGAAAAAAGGGAAUAUCAGCACCUUUCUAGUUUUGGAUUUGAAAAGUGGAAUUAAUUGCAAUAGGGAUAAAGUAGAAGAAACCACAAAUUAUCUUGUGCCUGAAAUCCAUUUAAGAAGCCUGAUAGCUUUAAGAACUAGCAGGGUGGGUUGUCUGUCUGUGGAAGUGUUAAGUGAAAUGGGCUUUGUCCUCCCAAGGUGGGGGAUUAUAGUAAUGUUGAAUAAAAUCGUUUACAAAACUCAGACUCUCACGAUGCAGUGUGAAGUAUGUAAAAGCAAUAAUAUAUUGAUUCUCUAUUGUACUUUUGAUGUAACUGCUACUUCUGUGAGAGUUGAGCUCGUUUUCUAACGGAAGAAUGUAACAAUUUUUGUGUUGAUAGUUUACUAUUGCCCUUAUCUAAUUAGAUUAUGAUAAAUAGGUUUGUCAUUUUGCAAGUUACGUGUUUUAAACUUUUAUAAAUGAAGUCUUCCUUUGGACUUGUGAUCGCCACAUUGUUUUGUUGUUCAGUUUUCUCUGUAAAGGGAUCUUGCGUUGUUUUAAUUUUUUUUCCUGCAUCUAAAUUGCAUGAUUUCCAAACCCUGUACCAUCUGAAUUUUGCAUUUUAGCACUUGCAAUAUUACUCAGCAGCAGUAACAUGGUAACACUUAAAAUGGUAUUCGGGGGACCUCCAAAGACUAAACUGACAAGCCUUCAAGGAACCCAGGGGUAAGUUAACUUGUCGAUGGCAUGGUUUUAAUCCCUUAUUUAUACUUGUGUAAAUCUAGUUACCAGUCUUAGAAGGCUUUCAAUGUUGAGUAGCCUUAUAUUAACAUGUUUAUGGUACUACAUAGCUAUGGGUAUUUAAUUCUACCCUAAAAAAAAAUUUUGAAGUUUAGAAGUAAACUAUUUGGCAAAGAUUUGUUUUUAAAGUCUAUUUGGUCAUCUACAUGCAUUCUAAAAAUUUUUUUGAAGCAGUUGAAUAAAAAUUUUUGUUGCCACCACAGUUUAGUGUCUGGAGUCUUACUGGAAAAACAUAGUUUCUUUUUUAUAUGUAACAAAGAUGCUGCAAAGUUACCUUUGAAAAGUGAGUCUCAAAAAGUUGGCAAUUUAUAUGCACAAGAGAAAUAAAGCCAAAACUCACAAUGAAUUUUUACAUAUAAUGGUAACUCGUUGGCUAGAAAGAAAAAUUUUGUUAAAUGUUAGUUAUUAAAACUUUUUAGGGAGGACUAGCCAACUAAAAUGAAAUGAGAUUUUUAAGGUUAAGUCAGAGCUCAAAUUUUGUCCUUAGGAAAAAGAAAGAUGUUAACUACUUAAUAAUUCAGAAAAUGCAUGUGAUAAUUAGAAUAAUUUGUUGUUGUUGAGUACUAGGAGAGUAUACCUCUUAAUUGUGUAUUUGUGAGUUCUCUACUAUACUCAGCAAUUGUAUGAUCUGUGAUCUAUUGUUUAGUUGAGUGUGCCCGACUAUUUCGUAUUCAUUGUAAAAAGGAAAAAAAAAACACUACAGAUUUAUCUAUAAGAUCAUCACUUAUUUCUAAUGUCACAUUUCAUUUUAUGGAAAUGCCACCUUUGAUUCAGCUGUCGUCUGAGUUUGAACAUUAUUUAGGUUAUUUCCAAGUGCUAGGAACAUCCUCACAGCUAAAUUAAAUUCUUAGCAGUGGAAUUACUAGGUCAAAGACUGCAUGUUUUUAAGGCUUUUGAUAUAUAUUGCCAAAUUGUCCUUUAGAAAAUUCAUGUUGUAUGACAACGUCAAAUAGCGCAAUUCCAUGUUGUUUUUGUCUGCCAAUUUGAUAAGUGAAAAAUUGUAUCUCAUCGUUUUGUGGUAUUGGUUUUUAACAUGGAAAUCAGUCAAUACCUAGGCUAAAUUAUUGAUGUUUCCAAUUGAUCUACCAAAAAAACACCACGUUUCAAGGUUGUUCCUGAACCAAUACUGCUGUAUUAUAUCACGCUCUGUUAGAGAUCAAUAAGAAAAGUCCCAAAAUAGUAGAAAAAUAGUCUAAGAACACGAACAGGCAUUUUACAGAAAUGCAAACAGCCAGUCCAAAAAAGGGAUACUGGACUUUGUAUGUAAUUAAAUACAAAUUUAACCAGUGAGUUUCUAUUGGAUUGGCAAAGAUGGUGAAUAUUACUAUAAUGUUUUAUGUCCCCUCAAAUUAAAGAGUAAGGGGUGAAAAGCUGGCGAGCUGAGAAGUGCCUGUCAUGGCAUUCCCACCUGUAGUUUGGUUUUGGUUUUUCAGUGUAGCAACAACUGCUGUGUUAAUAUUUCUCAGGUCACAUUGUGCUGCUAAGAUGUUUUACAGGUAUUUUUUUAAAAUAAGGAAUCAUUUCCUGACGGAAGACAUAAAAUUAAAAAUUAUCGAUUAUGUUCUUGAUCCAGGGAAUAUAGUUAAUGACCUUUGUGUAGACCCCAUACUGAUGUGCUUCCCCACAAUUAAUGGAACCCCAGGACACUAUUCCUCCCACAAACCACGUCUGUGUCUCAUUAUCUAGAAACACUAAUGCCCCUCCACUGUCACCUUUACAGCUGUCCUUGCCCCCGCUUUCUAAGCCAGCACAAAGCAUGUUACCAGUUACCCUUCCCCCUGGAUAGGGCUUCUUUUCAUAUGCAGCAGUACAUUUUUGGUGGUCAACAACUGGUAUGUCAACAAACUUUAGAUUUCUGGCAAGAAAACCUCUUUCAGUUAAUCCCCACCCAGCUGCAGUUCCGAUGUCAUCUGUUCUCAUGAAGGAUUCAGCUUCUUUUCUUGGUAAACAAAUAGGCAGGAUGUUGCUGUUGAUUACAACUUUGUUCUUCAAUUUAAUCAGUGCUAUGUCAUUAUCGAAACCAGUAUCAUGAUUGUAAUCUUCAUGUAUAAAAAUGGCCUCAGCCCAGGCUUGUGUGUAAUGAGGUGACAGUCUCUUCAGGGCACCCAUUCUAAUGUCUAGGGAAGAGGCAUCUUCUCUUUGCCCAUAUACAGCAUGAGCAGCUGUUAGGAUCCAUUUGUCAUAUAAAAGUGCACCUGCUGCUGUAGCUUCACCUAGUAACAGGACUUGCCAGGGAAAAUCACCAAGCUUUGCAUUUUGCCCUCCAUGUAUACGGCCUCUUGUAGUACGAGUUGAUUUUCCACAAACUGGUGAAAAAGCAGAUAUAUACAGCCAUUAGAGAAAUCUCUAAUUAGUACCACUUUGGAGUUGUGUAUAUCUAAUGUCAACCAAGAAUUGUAUUUCAUGAAUUGGUGGGUGUCCCCCUAUACAGGGAAGUGAGGCUGCUUUACAACAGCACAAUUCAAAUAGCCAUGUGAUACUUCUUAGCGCCUCAGAAAAUGAGGUGAGUGAAAAUUAACUUUUAGAAACGAAUUUGUUUUGCUAAAAGAAAUGAUCUGCAUGAUUGGAGAAAUUAUUUUGAGGGCAAACAGGAAUUGUCUGAGCUGAUGCACUGGGUGAUGUGUGUAGAAAGUGAAAGGAAAUAGCCUUUCGUUGCUUCUGUUUUCUUACUUGUAAAAUGAGUAUUUCCCAUAUAGUUCUGGGAAAGCAGGAGCCUAAGGUCACCAUCAUGGGAUUUGCAAAAUUACUUUCAUCUUUGAACAUUUAAAUGUCUUAAAAAUUAGAACAUUGCAGUUGUAGCCAAGAACCUUCUGGUUCAGAAAUUACUAUUUUUGGUCUAGUUUAUUCUUCCAGAUAUUAAAUUUUACUGUCUAUUGCGAACUAAAUACGCUCAUUAAUGUAGCAAAUUUGUUUCCUGUUGUGGCAGAAUACUUGUUUAAAACUUAUAAACGGGUCAGCUAAGAUAGAGGUUUUUAAAAAAACUAAUUUAAGCCAAAUAGCAUAAGGGUAAUGAAUAUAAUACUACCUUUCUGAAUUUUUUUUAAAAUCACUACUUAACUAUAUCCUCAGAGCAAGUUCUGGUAAAAAAAAUUUUUUAAGUACUAUUAAAGGGCAAAUUCCAUUAUUGUUUAAAAACUAGAUGUCAUCGAAAACAAUUGCUUAGGAAAAUAAUGAAGUUAUUAGCUUUGGGUUUUAAUAGCGUUUUUACAGAGAAGAAAAGUAACUCAACAGAAAAACUCAUGUUUAUAAAUGUGUAAAUGGUUCAAGAUAAUUUUAAAAAUCAUUCAUUUUUUAUGCUUGCCUAGUUGUAAGGUCAAAAAUAACUGACUGAUGCAGUCAGCACCUAACGCCCUCUCCUUGUGGACAGGGGAUCAUGGGAACAUAUUGUCUGGAAAUACUAACUUGGUGUCAGCCCAGUGCUGAAGUUGCUUUUCUGCCUCCCAUGGCUAAAGCCAUGCUUGUUGUCUCCUACCCAGUCCUACUUGCCAUCAAUUACAGAUCCCUUGUAUAAAUGUAUCCAUUACCAGGCUCGCAGAUGGGGAGUGAUUUUUCUCCUUUGGAGCUCGUCCAGAAUCCAUCAGCCUCACACACAUAUUUACCUGCAAAUCAUUGGAAAAGCAAAAAUGUUUAACUGCGUGUAUAAGGUGGUUGUCAUUUUCUUGAAUACCCCCUUGAAAAAUGUUGAUUCUUGAGCAUCAGUGAGAAAUAGAGGUGUCUGAAUAACCAUUUUACAUGAUUUCAUAAAUAGGAGGUGUCUGCAUUACCGUGUUUGCUUGCAAAGUGGAAACCUUUUAGAUGUAUAACUUGAAUAUGUAUCAAGAUCUCAAGUGCUUAAUGAUAAGGUUUUGACUUGUUAAAUUAAACCAUUUGGAAUA
This is a non-coding RNA of Equus caballus (horse), 6002 nucleotides long. NCBI's taxonomy places the organism in Eukaryota, Metazoa, Chordata, Mammalia, Perissodactyla, Equidae. The record is from RefSeq and is a predicted model, not a curated record.